This 30-nucleotide non-coding RNA is filed under the name Mus musculus (house mouse). The record is from RNAcentral. Lineage: Eukaryota; Metazoa; Chordata; Mammalia; Rodentia; Muridae.
UACAAUGUGAUUUGGAGUGGCUGUCUGUGU